This 301-nucleotide ribosomal RNA is filed under the name uncultured bacterium. RNAcentral describes it as "partial 16S ribosomal RNA". It matches the Rfam family "Bacterial small subunit ribosomal RNA", at positions 509 to 807 of the family's 1533-position model. The record is from RNAcentral.
CAGUAGCCGCGGGAAUACGUAGGGUGCAGGCGUUAAUCGGAAUUACUGGGCGUAAAGCGUGCGCAGGCGGUUUGUUAAGACAGAUGUGAAAUCCCCGGGCUUAACCUGGGAACUGCGUUUGUUACUGGCAGACUUGAGUGUGGCAGAGGGGGGUAGAAUUCCACGUGUAGCAGUGAAAUGCGUAGAUAUGUGGAGGAAUACCAAUGGCGAAGGCAGCCCCCUGGGUUAACACUGACGCUCAUGCACGAAAGCGUGGGGAGCAAACAGGAUUAGAUACCCCCGUAGUCCCUGUCUCUUAUAC